GGCUUUAUACCUCAGUUGGUUAGAGUCUCACGCCGGUAUCAUGAAGUCACGGGUUUAAACCCUGUUGAAGUCC
This 73-nucleotide transfer RNA is filed under the name Acropora cervicornis. Its description in RNAcentral is "tRNA-Thr". It matches the Rfam family "tRNA". From Rfam's summary of the family: Transfer RNA (tRNA) molecules are approximately 80 nucleotides in length. Their secondary structure includes four short double-helical elements and three loops (D, anti-codon, and T loops). The record is from RNAcentral. Lineage: Eukaryota; Metazoa; Cnidaria; Anthozoa; Scleractinia; Acroporidae.